UGGGCGUAAGAGCUCGUAGGCGGUUUGUCGCGUCUGUCGUGAAAGUCCGGGGCUUAACCCCGGAUCUGCGGUGGGUACGGGCAGACUAGAGUGCAGUAGGGGAGACUGGAAUUCCUGGUGUAGCGGUGGAAUGCGCAGAUAUCAGGAGGAACACCGAUGGCGAAGGCAGGUCUCUGGGCUGUAACUGACGCUGAGGAGCGAAAGCAUGGGGAGCGAACAGGAUUAGAUACCCUGGUAGUCCAUGCCGUAAACGUUGGGCACUAGGUGUGGGGACCAUUCCACGGUUUCCGCGCCGCAGCUAACGCAUUAAGUGCCCCGCCUGGGGAGUACGGCCGCAAGGCUAAAACUCAAAGGAAUUGACGGGGGCCCGCACAAGCGGCGGAGCAUGCGGAUUAAUUCGAUGCAACGCGAAGAACCUUACCAAGGCUUGACAUGUUUUCGAUCGCCGUGGAGACACGGUUUCCCCUUUGGGGCGGAUUCACAGGUGGUGCAUGGUUGUCGUCAGCUCGUGUCGUGAGAUGUUGGGUUAAGUCCCGCAACGAGCGCAACCCUCGUUCCAUGUUGCCAGCACGUAGUGGUGGGGACUCAUGGGAGACUGCCGGGGUCAACUCGGAGGAAGGUGAGGACGACGUCAAAUCAUCAUGCCCCUUAUGUCUUGGGCUUCACGCAUGCUACAAUGGCCGGUACAAUGGGUUGCGAUACUGUGAGGUGGAGCUAAUCCCAAAAAGCCGGUCUCAGUUCGGAUUGGGGUCUGCAACUCGACCCCAUGAAGUCGGAGUCGCUAGUAAUCGCAGAUCAGCAACGCUGCGGUGAAUACGUUCCCGGGCCUUGUACACACCGCCCGUCAAGUCACGAAAGUCGGUAACACCCGAAGCCGGUGGCCUAACCCUUGUGGGGGGAGCCGUCGAAGGUGGGACCAGCGAUUGGGACGAAGUCGUAACAAG
RNAcentral lists this ribosomal RNA (944 nucleotides) under Micrococcus sp. RNAcentral's name for it is "bacterial SSU rRNA". It matches the Rfam family "Bacterial small subunit ribosomal RNA", at positions 555 to 1495 of the family's 1533-position model. The record is from RNAcentral. Lineage: Bacteria; Bacillati; Actinomycetota; Actinomycetes; Micrococcales; Micrococcaceae.